UUAUGUGUCUAUGAUGGAUUCACUAAGGCAGAAGAGGUCCCCAUGCUUUACAUGCCAGUAUGGCUAUAGAUCCAUAAGCUCCCUGAGGGUUUCUGCAGGAGGAACAUAGUGGAAUCGCUGCUGAAAAAGUCCGGGGAGAUCUUGGAGAUGAGGUUAAACGGCAACACGCGGGGUGAUUAUGUGAGGGUUAGGGUUCGUCAUGACAUCCGUCGACCUCUCACAAAAUUCGUUAGUAUUGUUAGAGGUGAGGCAAUGCAAGUCUACUUGGUCCGGUAUGAAAAGCUUGCUCACUUUUGCAGUGUUUGCGGUAUGAUUGGGCAUGACUGCAAAGAAUGUAGCUCUGGGGUCCAUGAGGCAAAGGAUGUGAAGUUUGGGAGCUGGUUAUACGCAGAUGGUCCGAACAAGCCAAGAGCUGAUGAGUUCGACAGGAGCAACGACAAGCAAAGUCAAAAGCAUCGUACACCAACCAAAGAAAAGGACGCCAAGAAAGUCAUCGACCCGGACUUGGCUGAUACUGCGUCCAGCCCAUCUAAAAGUGGCACAAAGGAGAUGCACGUCGACCCUCCAGCUCGUAAGAGGCUGGCCAUGGACAGCUCCGGGCUGGAGCUGCCCAACAAACCGAUAGAUACAUUAGCUCUUACUCAAGGGCUCGGUGAAGAUGGUGAUGCUACCUCGUCACCAUGCAAUAGUUCAAACAGUAAAAAGGCAAGGAUAGACUCCCAAGGUUUUUCGGAUGAGAAGUCGGCGGCCUCCUUCGAGGAGGACCGCCAGGUACAAUGA
Molecule: ribosomal RNA, 780 nt
Filed under: Triticum aestivum (bread wheat)
Lineage: Eukaryota; Viridiplantae; Streptophyta; Magnoliopsida; Poales; Poaceae
Description: partial small subunit ribosomal RNA
Source: RNAcentral